CUGGCACUUCCAAGCCUGAGCCCAGUGUCUGCUCCACCAUCUCCCAUCCGUCUGGCAGCAGUGCUUGGUGUCUCCGAGUUACCCUGGAGCUGGGGUGGCAAACAGUGGCCUGCGGGACAAAUGUUUUGUGAUCUGCUGGUGCAUCGUAUUUCAUAAAGUGUUUCUGACUUCUGGUUCAGAAAAAAUGGCAGAAAUGGAAGAACUGAAAUCUCAGAAAUGGUUUUCCAUGAACAUUUUGGAGACUCUCCAUAUUACAUCAUGAAAAAGAAAAAGUUCACACAAUGAGAAUAGGCAGAAGACCUCAGUUGACCAUGGCUAACUGAAACUGUGAAAAGUGAAACCAAGAUGCUAAUAGACAACAGAAGGUUUCAAAACAUACGGAGAUGGAAGUAAACAGGCUCAAGAUAGUCUCUCCCACAGGUUGGAGACUGAUCCCUGGAUGUAUCAG
Lepus europaeus (European hare) is the source of this 448-nucleotide long non-coding RNA. RefSeq lists it as uncharacterized. The transcript is spliced from 5 exons. NCBI's taxonomy places the organism in Eukaryota, Metazoa, Chordata, Mammalia, Lagomorpha, Leporidae. The record is from RefSeq and is a predicted model, not a curated record.